Molecule: ribosomal RNA, 320 nt
Filed under: uncultured bacterium
Lineage: Bacteria
Description: bacterial SSU rRNA
Rfam family: Bacterial small subunit ribosomal RNA
Source: RNAcentral
AAGACCACAGCAUCACAUGGUGCAGGGGUCAAAGGAGCAAUCCGGUAAGAGAUGGGCUCGGCGUCCGAUUAGCUAGUUGCGGGAUAACAGCCCACCAAGGCGACGAUCGGUAGCCGACCUGAGAGGGUGAUCGGCCACAUUGGAACUGAGAUACGGUCCAGACUCCUACGGGAGGCAGCAGUGGGGGAAUAUUGGGCAAUGGGCGAAAGCCUGACCCAGCAACGCCGCGUGAGGGAAGAAGGGUUUCGGCUCGUAAACCUCUGUCCUAUGGGACGAAGAAGUGACGGUACCAUAGGAAGGAAGCCCCGGCUAACUACGUG